UAUGGACCAGGUGGAAUCGGACCUGGUGGUGCUGGUACUGGCUAUGGACCAGGUGGAAUCGGACCUGGUGGUGCUGGUACAGGCUAUGGACCAGGAGGUUAUGCUGAUGCAAAAGCCCGCAAAUAUGGGCUUCCUGGUGGUGGAACACUAGGAAGAACAGGAUAUGGACCUGGUGGAUAUGGGCCUGGAGCUGGGACGGGUUACGGACCAGGUGGAGGCUAUGGUACAGGACCAGGGGCUGGAUACGGAACAGGUCAAGGUGGAACAGGUGCUGGUGGGGUACUCGGAGGUGGAGUAGGACGAGGCGGCUAUGGCACAGCUGGAUCUAAAGCUGCUAAGUAUGGGCAACCUGGUGGACUUCUACCUGGGGCAGGAGUAGGAACUGGCACUGCAGGACCUGGCAUAGGGACUGGCA
Molecule: non-coding RNA, 415 nt
Organism: Plectropomus leopardus (leopard coralgrouper)
Lineage: Eukaryota; Metazoa; Chordata; Actinopteri; Perciformes; Serranidae
Source: RefSeq, a predicted model, not a curated record